CAGCAGCAGCCGCGGUAAUACGUAGGUGGCAAGCGUUGUCCGGAAUUAUUGGGCGUAAAGGGCUCGCAGGCGGUUUCUUAAGUCUGAUGUGAAAGCCCCCGGCUCAACCGGGGAGGGUCAUUGGAAACUGGGAAACUUGAGUGCAGAAGAGGAGAGUGGAAUUCCACGUGUAGCGAUGAAAUGCGUAGAGAUGUGGAGGAACACCAGUGGCGAAGGCGACUCUCUGGUCUGUAACUGACGCUGAGGAGCGAAAGCGUGGGGAGCGAACAGGAUUAGAUACCCCGAGUAGUCCCUGUCUCUUAUA
This 304-nucleotide ribosomal RNA is filed under the name uncultured bacterium. RNAcentral describes it as "partial 16S ribosomal RNA". It matches the Rfam family "Bacterial small subunit ribosomal RNA", at positions 506 to 808 of the family's 1533-position model. The record is from RNAcentral.